AUGUGGGUGGGUGCAGCAUAUGAACUAAAACUGGAACAAUUCAGACAAGAUCAGCCUGGCCUUGUGUAAGGAGGACAUGCAAACUCAUGAGCACCUCCAUAUAUUG
This is a small nuclear RNA of Manis pentadactyla (Chinese pangolin), 106 nucleotides long. Lineage: Eukaryota; Metazoa; Chordata; Mammalia; Pholidota; Manidae. The record is from RefSeq and is a predicted model, not a curated record.